AUUGAACGCUGGCGGCAUGCCUUACACAUGCAAGUCGAACGGCAGCACGGGAGCUUGCUCCUGGUGGCGAGUGGCGAACGGGUGAGUAAUGCAUCGGAACGUGCCCUGAAGUGGGGGAUAACGUAGCGAAAGUUACGCUAAUACCGCAUAUUCUGUGAGCAGGAAAGCAGGGGAUCUUCGGACCUUGCGCUUUUGGAGUGGCCGAUGUCGGAUUAGCUAGUUGGUGGGGUAAAGGCCCACCAAGGCGACGAUCCGUAGCGGGUCUGAGAGGAUGAUCCGCCACACUGGAACUGAGACACGGUCCAGACUCCUACGGGAGGCAGCAGUGGGGAAUUUUGGACAAUGGGCGCAAGCCUGAUCCAGCCAUGCCGCGUGAGUGAAGAAGGCC
RNAcentral lists this ribosomal RNA (388 nucleotides) under uncultured bacterium. RNAcentral describes it as "bacterial SSU rRNA". It matches the Rfam family "Bacterial small subunit ribosomal RNA", at positions 30 to 416 of the family's 1533-position model. The record is from RNAcentral.